GAGAAAGGUAUUAUUAAAGGUUAAAUUAUACUUUAACUCUUCCUUUGUUUUCUUAAAUGCCAUUUUUU
This 68-nucleotide ribosomal RNA is filed under the name Borrelia persica. Its description in RNAcentral is "partial 16S ribosomal RNA". Lineage: Bacteria; Pseudomonadati; Spirochaetota; Spirochaetia; Spirochaetales; Borreliaceae. The record is from RNAcentral.